AUUAUUUUAAUCACAUCCUCAAUGGAAGAACUUUACACUUAGAAAAGCAAUUUUAAAAAUAAAUUUUUGAAAAUGAGAACAGAAAACAAAAAAAUAAAUUAAAUUUUACUGAAAAAGGAAAUAUAUUUCUAUGUACAAAACAUUCACUUAAUAAAUUAGUAAAUUCAUUCCAUUCCAAUCGUAUAUCUUCACUUUGAUUAUUUUGUUAUAUGUUAUACCUUAACUUACUGGCUACAGCUCAGCUUCAUUUUCACUUUAGCAUCACAGUAACUUUUUCGACAUCCGACAAAAAAA
This is a long non-coding RNA of Bradysia coprophila, 294 nucleotides long. The record is from RefSeq and is a predicted model, not a curated record. Lineage: Eukaryota; Metazoa; Arthropoda; Insecta; Diptera; Sciaridae.